CCCCCGGGUCCACGAUGCAGCUCCGGAUGAAGCCGCUGUAUUUUCCUUAUAUGAUCGGGCCCCAUGGCUGGCGGCGCCGCUGGCGGAGCCUGAGAGGAUUAUGAAAACUUGUCUAGGCGAAAUGGGGCCAGGGAACCGGGGG
Molecule: non-coding RNA, 142 nt
Organism: Orcinus orca (killer whale)
Lineage: Eukaryota; Metazoa; Chordata; Mammalia; Artiodactyla; Delphinidae
Product: small Cajal body-specific RNA 17
Exons: 1
Source: RefSeq, a predicted model, not a curated record